UUUGCCUACGGGGGGCAGCAGUGAGGAAUAUUGGUCAAUGGGCGGAAGCCUGAACCAGCCAAGUCGCGUGAGGGAAUAAGGCCCUACGGGUCGUAAACCUCUUUUGCCGGGGAGCAAGGGCGGGGACGUGUCCCGGCCCGGAGAGUACCCGGAGAAAAAGCAUCGGCUAACUCCGUGCCAGCAGCCGCGGUAAUACGGAGGAUGCGAGCGUUAUCCGGAUUUAUUGGGUUUAAAGGGUGCGUAGGUGGUUAAUUAAGUCAGCGGUGAAAGUUUGUGG
This 277-nucleotide ribosomal RNA is filed under the name uncultured bacterium. RNAcentral describes it as "partial 16S ribosomal RNA". It matches the Rfam family "Bacterial small subunit ribosomal RNA", at positions 334 to 607 of the family's 1533-position model. The record is from RNAcentral.